RNAcentral lists this small nucleolar RNA (125 nucleotides) under Carlito syrichta (Philippine tarsier). RNAcentral's name for it is "Small nucleolar RNA ACA64 (ENSTSYG00000023568.2)". It matches the Rfam family "Small nucleolar RNA ACA64". The record is from Rfam by way of RNAcentral. Lineage: Eukaryota; Metazoa; Chordata; Mammalia; Primates; Tarsiidae.
GUUGGUUGAAAAUCAUCCUUGGCUUGGCCAUGGCGGUGGGUGAGAUUCAGUGCCCAGAGCCACCAGAGCCUCAGCUCACUGCUCACUGCCUCAGGUGCGAGGGGGAAACCCAGGCCCUGACAGUG